AAUAUUUGACAAUGGGCGAAAGCCUGAUCCAGCCAUGCCGCGUGUGUUGAGAAGGUCUUCGGAUUGUAAAUCACUUUAAGUUGGGAGGAAGGGCAGUAAGCUAAUACCUUGCUGUUUUGACGUUACCUACAGAAUUAGCACCGGCUAACUUCGUGCCAUCAGCCGCGGUAAUACGAAUGGUGCAAGCGUUAAUCGGAAUUACAGGGCGUAAAGCGCGCGUAAGUGGUUUGAUAAGUUGGAUGUGAAAGCCCCGGGCUCAACCUGGGAAUUGCAUCCAAAACUGUCAGACUAGAGUAUGGCAGAGGGUGGUGGAAUUUCCUGUGUAGCGGUGAAAUGCGUAGAUAUAGGAAGGAACACCAGUGGCGAAGGCGACCACCUGGGCUAAUACUGACACUGAGGUGCGAAAGCGUGGGGAGCAAACAGG
RNAcentral lists this ribosomal RNA (424 nucleotides) under uncultured bacterium. Its description in RNAcentral is "partial 16S ribosomal RNA". It matches the Rfam family "Bacterial small subunit ribosomal RNA", at positions 360 to 776 of the family's 1533-position model. The record is from RNAcentral.